GACGAACGCUGGCGGCGUGCUUAACACAUGCAAGUCGAACGAUGAACCCGGAGCUUGCUCUGGGGGAUUAGUGGCGAACGGGUGAGUAACACGUGAGUAACCUGCCCUGGACUCUGGGAUAAGCGUUGGAAACGACGUCUAAUACCGGAUAGGACCUUGGAUCGCAUGAUCUGGGGUGGAAAGUUUUUUCGGUCUGGGAUGGACUCGCGGCCUAUCAGCUUGUUGGUGAGGUAAUGGCUCACCAAGGCGUCGACGGGUAGCCGGCCUGAGAGGGUGACCGGCCACACUGGGACUGAGACACGGCCCAGACUCCUACGGGAGGCAGCAGUGGGGAAUAUUGCACAAUGGGCGAAAGCCUGAUGCAGCAACGCCGCGUGCGGGAUGACGGCCUUCGGGUUGUAAACCGCUUUUAGUAGGGAAGAAGGGCUUCGGCUUGACGGUACCUGCAGAAAAGGGACCGGCUAACUACG
Molecule: ribosomal RNA, 470 nt
Filed under: uncultured bacterium
Lineage: Bacteria
Description: partial 16S ribosomal RNA
Rfam family: Bacterial small subunit ribosomal RNA
Source: RNAcentral